ACUCAAAGGAAUAGACGGGGGCCCGCACAAGCGGCGGAGCAUGUUGCUUAAUUCGAGGCAACGCGAAGAACCUUACCUGGGUUUGACAUGCAGGGAAAUCCGGCAGAGAUGUCGGGUCCGUAAGGGUCCUGCACAGGUGGUGCAUGGCUGUCGUCAGCUCGUGUCGUGAGAUGUUGGGUUAAGUCCCGCAACGAGCGCAACCCUCGUCCUAUGUUGCCAGCGGGUUAUGCCGGGGACUCAUAGGAGACUGCCGGGGUCAACUCGGAGGAAGGUGGGGAUGAGGUCAAGUCAUCAUGCCCCUUACAUCCAGGGCUGCAAACAUGCUACAAUGGCUGGUACAAAGGGCUGCGAAAUCGUGAGGUGGAGCGAAUCCCAAAAAGCCGGCCUCAGUUCGGAUCGGGGUCUGCAACUCGACCCCGUGAAGUUGGAGUCGCUAGUAAUCGCAGAUCAGCAACGCUGCGGUGAAUACGUUCCCGGGCCUUGUACACACCGCCCGU
This 497-nucleotide ribosomal RNA is filed under the name uncultured bacterium. RNAcentral describes it as "partial 16S ribosomal RNA". It matches the Rfam family "Bacterial small subunit ribosomal RNA", at positions 899 to 1397 of the family's 1533-position model. The record is from RNAcentral.